RNAcentral lists this long non-coding RNA (229 nucleotides) under Hordeum vulgare. RNAcentral describes it as "long non-coding RNA (HVUL_LNC012212)". The record is from RNAcentral. Lineage: Eukaryota; Viridiplantae; Streptophyta; Magnoliopsida; Poales; Poaceae.
UGACAAUGACGAGAACAACGAUAAGAAUGAUAACAACAACAAUGACAACAGCGACAUAACGACAACAACGACAAUAACGACAACGACAACAACAACAACAACAACAACAACAACAACAAUAACAAUAACAACAACAACAACAAUACAAACAACAACAACCACAACGACAAACACGAUGACGACAACGACGACGACAACAACGACAACAACAACGACAACGACAAUGUAG